This 562-nucleotide ribosomal RNA is filed under the name uncultured bacterium. RNAcentral describes it as "partial 16S ribosomal RNA". It matches the Rfam family "Bacterial small subunit ribosomal RNA", at positions 355 to 1375 of the family's 1533-position model. The record is from RNAcentral.
UGGGGAAUAUUGCACAAUGGGCGAAAGCCUGAUGCAGCAACGCCGCGUGAGUGAUGAAGGCCUUCGGGUUGUAAAGCUCUGUCUUUUGGGACGAUAAUGACGGUACCAAAGGAGGAAGCCACGGCUAACUACGUGCCAGCAGCCGCGGUAAUACGUAGGUGGCAAGCGUUGUCCGGAUUUACUGGGCGUAAAGGAUGCGUAGGCGGAUUUUUAAGUGAGAUGUGAAAACCCUAAGCUUAACUUGGGGACUGCAUUUCAUACUGGAAAUCUAGAGUGCGGGAGAGGAGAAUGGAAUUCCUAGUGUAGCGGUGAAAUGCGUAGAGAUUAGGAAGAACACCAGUGGCGAAGGCGAUUCUCUGGACCGUAACUGACGCUGAGGCAUGAAAGCGUGGGUAGCAAACAGGAUUAGAUACCCUGGUAGUCCACGCCGUAAACGAUGAGUACUAGGUGUAGGAGGUAUCGACCCCUUCUGUGCCGCAGUUAACACAGUAAGUACUCCGCCUGGGAAGUACGAUCGCAAGAUUAAAACUCAAAUGAAUUGACGGGGUCAUAGCUGUUUCCU